AUGGCGGAGCUCGCGUCGGGUGCGGUGAGCUCGCUACUGGGCGUCAUCCGCAAUGAGGCGCUGCUGCUGGGCCGCGUCCGGCACGACGUGCAGUUCAUCCGGGAGGAGAUGGAGAGCAUGCAGAGCUUCUUGACACAUUUGUCAAAGAAGGCGCCUGCCGGUGGCGAGCACGACGAGCAGAUCCGCACCUGGAUGAACCAGGUCCGGCUGCUCGCCCAGGACAGCAACAACUGCAUCGAUCUGUAUCUGUACCGCGGCAACCCCGACCUUCAUCUCGCCAGGGGCGGCCUCCGGCGCUACGUCGCGUGGCUCCCUGACGGGUUUAUGGGACGGGAAAAAAAUAGCCCCGCGCAUGGUGACGGGGACGGGAACGGGUUUACAAUUUUCUCAUGGGAUGGGUUAAGGCAGAGGACUACAUGGUCCGACGGGUGGCCUCCUAAUGCAGUGCCAGACGGGUACGGCGUUGAAGUCCCAUCUAAAGGGGCGGGCGCAGAGCAGCCACCUGGAGGGGCUGGGCUCACGCCAGCAGCGACAUCAUCAUCAUUGGGGCAUGUGGCCACAUGGUCUGCUGCUUCCGGAGAUGAAGAAGAAGACGGUCGCGAACAACUCGUGGUGGCAAUGGCAGCAACCGAUCAUUCUGUUUUACGAGGGGCAUUUUUCGAGCCCCGUAGGCCAGAGGACAAUGUUAGGCUGAACCUAGCUAAAUGGAUAAACAAUGUUGCACAACGCAACACUACUGCGGUGAAACCAAUACCAUCCAUCGCAAUUGUGGCACCGGAUGAGCAAGAAACCAGUGCUAUUGCAGCUGAAGCAUCGGCUUUAUGGGAAGAACAUCAUGGCACCCGCAGUGUCGCCUUGAUCGACAUACCCGCAGUGCACUUUUAUUCUGAUUUUCUAGAAGCCGAGGACAUUGUCUACUACAUCCUGCGGGAGCUGCAGUCUGUCGAAAUCCAACACCAACUACAGAAAGGCCAGCUGCAGCUCAACCAAAUGAAUGAAUACCAGCUGGGCCUGCUGGAGUCUGUUAAAGAUGAACCCUUAGGCGUACUCCUCCAAGCCUUGUGGCAGCUCAAUCCCAUGGAAGCUAAUGGUGCGCCUACUACCAAGCAAAGCCAAGAAAAUAAGAAAGCCACACGUUCAGAAAAGAAGGAACCCACACGUUCAGAGAGGAAGAAGGCCACACAUACACACGAUGAUAUCAUCAAGGAAACAGCCAAGAAGCUUAAAGGUCAUAUGGAAAAAGAUGCAGAUGAAAAAUCGAGGCCUAAAGAGCACAUGGAAGAAGAUGACAAACUAAGGCCUAAAGAGCAUAUGGAAGAAGAGGAAAAACUGAAGCCUGAAGAGGACAUGGAAGAACAAGCAUCCCCAAAGCAAAUUCGUCUCGAGGAAGGCCAUUAUGCAGACAUUCUACUGGAGGUGUUCCCUCGGCCGGUGAACCUGGAGCAAGACUCAAAGCAAGCCACCCCAACAGGCACUAGUAUAUUGGUUGAGGAGCCAUUCAAAGAAAUAAUCCGCAAAAUAAUGCAGGAGGUGCAGGAAGACAACUCCAUCAGCAAACUAGAUAUAUCUGAUGGUAAACAAAGCCAGGAUUGUAUCCCGGAUUUUCUUAUUGAAGAAACCAUACAGAAGAUCGAAGAAAUCCAUUGGAAGAUUGAACAGCAGCUUUUGGUUAUCAAAGGGAUCAUGGAUAGAUUCAGUAACUUUUUGGAGAGACACCAUCAGAUCCUGGUUAUACUCAAACUAGAUAAUGACUGGGUAUUCGGAUGGGAGGAGACAAAAAAUGCUUUCAGCAUGCUUGGUUGCAUAGCCGGUGCACUGAUGUUGACCUUCGAAGAAAACAGAGAUGAAGCCAAAGAAUACUGUUGCCCGCCUCAGGAGCCUAUAGAUUAUUCUGUUAUUUGCCUCUACCGUGAUAUUGCACUCGAGCUUACAAAUCAACACAUGAAACAAGAUAGCACCCAGAUUCUUCUUGACAUCUUGGAGAAGUGUAAGAAAUAUGAAUUCUGCAUGAAGAUCUUCGUUCAUGCUUUGAACGCCAACCCCAAGAGGAGCAAGGAAGAGCUAAGCAAAUUGGACAGCACUCUGCAGCAGCUUCCAGACAACUCAUUGGACAACGUUGCUAAAAAGAUGUUCAAGUUCUGUUAUAGUGAUCUACCUAAUGAAUACAAGUCCUGCUUGCUGUACCUAGCUAUUUUCCCUCGGCGACAACCCAUCAGGCGGUCAACCUUAAUAGGACGUUGGGUUGUAGAAGGGCUGAUUACCAAGGAAGACUGGGCCAGUUCUGUGCGUCAUGCCAAUCGAUGUUUUGAUGUGCUCGUCAAUCGGUGGCUUAUUUAUCCAGCUGAUAUUGGUGCUACAGGAAAGAUAAAGAGCUGUGUGAUUGGCGAUCUAGUUCAUGCAUUCAUUACCAGGAUCGCAAGAAAACGGCGCAUUGUGGAAACACGCCUGUCACAUCACUUGGCUCUCCGCUUCUCCAUUUUCAAUGACCUUCGACUCCGUGGGAAGAACCAAAGCUACCUCAUGGACAUAUGUAGCAAGAUGUUACUGCUCAAGUAUCUGAGCCUAAGGAGAACAGAUGUUACCCAGCUACCCACUGAAAUCAACAACCUCCGUGAGCUGGAAGUAUUGGAUAUCAGAGAGACCAAUGUGCCUCCAUAUGCAACAGUAAAUGUCUUACUCCUGAAGUUGAAGCGUUUGUUGGCUGGUCGCAUUGUUUUGAGUUCAGGGGCAAGUAGUACUGAACUAUCUAGUGUUGUGAUUCCUGAUAAGGUCGAAAAAAUGAUAAACAUGGAGGUAUUGUCCAAUGUCAAGGGACGGACCAGACAAGAUUUUAAAGAUAUUGGAAAGUUGUGGCAGCUGAGGAAGCUUGGUGUGGUUAUUGAAAACAAGGAGCCACACCUCAGAAAUUUUCUUCGAGCUAUCAGUGAUCUGCAUGAGUGCCUCAAGUCUCUGUCAAUUACUCUUUCCAGUACAGAGGGCAGCAAAGAUUUCACACCCUAUGUUCUUGAACACUAUAAAAACACUCCCAAGCUUCUCGAGAGCCUAAGCAUUACCGGAACCACACAAACGGUGCAACUUAUUCGGUUGUCGACCAGAGAUAAUGGCCAACUACAACUUGGUAAGGUAACUCUAUCUGGUACCCGGCUGAGUCAGGCUGAUCUGAAUGUCCUUGCCAAGCUGCCCAAAUUAAUAUGUCUCAGGCUCCGAGACAACGCAUACAUUGAUAGCAACCUCAACUUUAUCGAGGAUGAAUUCGAAAAUCUCAAGUGCUUUCUUAUUGAGGGUUCCAACAUAACUGUCCUCAACUUUGGAGGUGGAGCACAUAAACUGGAGAAAAUCGUUCUGUGCUCCACUGAAGGAUUGUCAAUUUCUGGAGUUGAAGACCUUCUGGAACUGAAGGAGGUCGAGUUGAAGAACUGCAAUAAGUUAUUAUUGUUUGACAAGGCCAAAAACAUAUCCAAGGUGACUCUUUGUCAUACCUCUGUGAGUCAAUAUGAGGUAGAGAUUCUCGCCAAGAUGCCUAACAUGCGCAACCUAGUACUCAAGGACAUAUUUUGUGUACAAAGCCAGCUUAUCUUAUACAAAGGUGACUUCCCAAAGCUCAACCUUCUUACACUCGACUUCUCUGUCACCCCCAAGAUUAUCAUUACCGACGGAUCAGCUGCUAAGCUCGAGAAAAUCAUCUGGUCCUUCACAAAGGACACGGUGGGUACUCUCUCCAUCUCUUGCAUUGACAUCCUUCCAAACCUGAAGGAGCUCGAGCUCAAUGGUGAUUUUGUCCCCGGGGAGGUGGAAGAAGCAUUGAAGAAACACAAGAACAAACCCAAGUUUACACACAACAAACCGGAAUACCAAUACCAGGAAGCGGGAAACAUACCAGAAAAGAAAGAUCCACCAAGAUUCUCAUUAUUCAGGAAGCAAGAGGAUUGA
This 3930-nucleotide ribosomal RNA is filed under the name Triticum aestivum (bread wheat). RNAcentral describes it as "partial small subunit ribosomal RNA". Lineage: Eukaryota; Viridiplantae; Streptophyta; Magnoliopsida; Poales; Poaceae. The record is from RNAcentral.